ACAGCAGCCGCCGCGGGAAUACAGAGGGUGCGAGCGUUAAUCGGAUUUACUGGGCGUAAAGCGUGCGUAGGUGGUGGUUUAAGUCCGUUGUGAAAGCCCUGGGCUCAACCUGGGAAUUGCAGUGGAUACUGGGUCACUAGAGUGUGGUAGAGGAUAGUGGAAUUUCCGGUGUAGCAGUGAAAUGCGUAGAGAUCGGAAGGAACAUCUGUGGCGAAGGCGACUAUCUGGGCCAACACUGACACUGAGGCACGAAAGCGUGGGGAGCAAACAGGAUUAGAUACCCCUGUAGUCCCUGUCUCUUAUAC
Molecule: ribosomal RNA, 305 nt
Filed under: uncultured bacterium
Lineage: Bacteria
Description: partial 16S ribosomal RNA
Rfam family: Bacterial small subunit ribosomal RNA
Source: RNAcentral